CACCUUUUCCCCUCCUUUCGUUGUUUUGGUACCGGUUUUGCAGGCGUUUCGGAUAUUGUAUUUAUUUAUUAAUUUUUUUUAAGAGUCUAUCAGUCUAAACUCAAUGUUCGUAAUUAUAACGAUGCAUCUGUACUUUUAUUUGGUAACGAAGCAAAAAGAGAAUAUUAUUUCUCCAAUGGGUUCUGGUAUUAGGCAUUCAUCCUUAGUUCUUUAAUAUGUGUCAUAUUAAAAGUUUGCAGUAAGAUCAAAUGAAACAACCAAGUGUCAGUUUACUGGACAAAAUGCUGUACACUUAUUUUCAGGUGGUUAUGUUUUUUGAUGUUGCUUGCCUUGGUAAACCUGCAUUUAUUCUUGCUAGACAUGUGCAAUAAUAUUUUCUUAGAAACUGGAGGUUUCAUAGAUCUUUGCUUUCUUUCUUCUAAAUGCACCCUAAUCUUCAGUACUAAUACAUAGUUUUAAACAUAUUUGAUACAUGUUAGUAAAGUUUUAAAGAAAUUGUAUAUCUUAAUAACGUUUUCCUUGUAUUCAAGGAUUUUUUCAAUGAUUAGAAUGUAUAUCUCAAGGUGUAUGGUGUGAUUUUGGAAUAAUUAAGUUCAUUUUUGCUGCCUUAAUUAAAUUUGUUAUAAAUUAUA
This 632-nucleotide unclassified non-coding RNA is filed under the name Stegodyphus dumicola. RNAcentral describes it as "uncharacterized LOC118204245, transcript variant X3". Lineage: Eukaryota; Metazoa; Arthropoda; Arachnida; Araneae; Eresidae. The record is from RNAcentral.